GAUGAACGCUGGCGUCGUGCCUAAUACAUGCAAGUCGAGCGAACAGACGAGGAGCUUGCUCCUCUGACGUUAGCGGCGGACGGGUGAGUAACACGUGGAUAACCUACCUAUAAGACUGGGAUAACUUCGGGAAACCGGAGCUAAUACCGGAUAAUAUAUUGAACCGCAUGGUUCAAUAGUGAAAGACGGUUUUGCUGUCACUUAUAGAUGGAUCCGCGCCGCAUUAGCUAGUUGGUAAGGUAACGGCUUACCAAGGCAACGAUGCGUAGCCGACCUGAGAGGGUGAUCGGCCACACUGGAACUGAGACACGGUCCAGACUCCUACGGGAGGCAGCAGUAGGGAAUCUUCCGCAAUGGGCGAAAGCCUGACGGAGCAACGCCGCGUGAGUGAUGAAGGUCUUCGGAUCGUAAAACUCUGUUAUUAGGGAAGAACAAAUGUGUAAGUAACUAUGCACGUGUUGACGGUACCUAAUCAGAAAGCCACGGCUAACUACGUG
This 497-nucleotide ribosomal RNA is filed under the name uncultured bacterium. RNAcentral's name for it is "partial 16S ribosomal RNA". It matches the Rfam family "Bacterial small subunit ribosomal RNA", at positions 28 to 507 of the family's 1533-position model. The record is from RNAcentral.